Molecule: ribosomal RNA, 426 nt
Filed under: uncultured bacterium
Lineage: Bacteria
Description: partial 16S ribosomal RNA
Rfam family: Bacterial small subunit ribosomal RNA
Source: RNAcentral
GUGAGGAAUUUUCCGCAAUGGGCGAAAGCCUGACGGAGCAAUGUCGCGUGAAGGAUGAAGGCCUAUGGGUUGUAAACUUCUUUUCUCAGAAAAGAAUUAUGACGGUAUCUGAGGAAUAAGCAUCGGCUAACUCUGUGCCAGCAGCCGCGGUAAGACAGAGGAUGCAAGCGUUAUCCGGAAUGAUUGGGCGUAAAGCGUCUGUAGGUUGUUUAAAAAGUAUUCUGUCAAAGAUUAGGGCUUAACCCUAGAUAGGCAGAAUAAACUUUUAAGCUAGAGUUUGGUAGAGGCAGAGGGAAUUCCCGGUGGAGCGGUGAAAUGCGUAGAUAUCGGGAGGAACACCAAAGGCGAAGGCACUCUGCUGGGCCAAUACUAACACUGAGAGACGAAAGCGAGGGGAGCAAAUGGGAUUAGAAACCCUAGUAGUCC